Molecule: ribosomal RNA, 269 nt
Filed under: uncultured prokaryote
Description: partial 16S ribosomal RNA
Rfam family: Bacterial small subunit ribosomal RNA
Source: RNAcentral
UACGUAGGGUGCGAGCGUUGUCCGGAAUUACUGGGCGUAAAGGGCGCGUAGGCGGCCUUGUGUGUCGCGUGUGAAAUCCCCGGGCUCAACCCGGGAACUGCAUUCCAAACUGGAUGUCUAGAGUGCAGGAGAGGAAAGCGGAAUUCCUAGUGUAGCGGUGAAAUGCGUAGAUAUUAGGAGGAACACCAGUGGCGAAGGCGGCUUUCUGGACUGUAACUGACACUGAGGCAUGAAAGCGUGGGUAGCAAACAGGAUUAGAUACCCUGGUA